RNAcentral lists this small nucleolar RNA (71 nucleotides) under Procavia capensis (Cape rock hyrax). RNAcentral describes it as "Small nucleolar RNA SNORD26 (ENSPCAG00000020542.1)". It matches the Rfam family "Small nucleolar RNA SNORD26". From Rfam's summary of the family: U26 is a member of the C/D class of snoRNA which contain the C (UGAUGA) and D (CUGA) box motifs. Lineage: Eukaryota; Metazoa; Chordata; Mammalia; Hyracoidea; Procaviidae. The record is from RNAcentral.
CUAUGAGGAUGAUUACCAAUUGAACUCUCUCUUUCUGAGUCAUUAGUGAAGACUUUAAAAUUCUGAGUAGC